Molecule: long non-coding RNA, 385 nt
Filed under: Musa acuminata (dwarf banana)
Lineage: Eukaryota; Viridiplantae; Streptophyta; Magnoliopsida; Zingiberales; Musaceae
Description: long non-coding RNA (MACU_LNC010076)
Source: RNAcentral
AAUAGGCAUGGUUAUAUGAAAUAGUGUAAGUGUCAUGCUUGACGAUUGUAUACUCAAUGAUGCAUAAUGAUGUAAUAAAAACACUAAAUGUUUGGAUACCAUGAUUUAUGAUUUUAUGCAUGAGAUUUUAAAGUUAUACAUGAUGAUUUUUGUGACUUAUUGGUCUUGAUGGUUUUAUGAUGAAAUUCAUUUUACGAUCCUAAACGUUGAUGCAUGUUUUCAUUUGACAUAAAUGAAAAGGCAUGCUAACAUGAAAUCGAUCACUUAAGAUGAAACACUUAAAAAAGGGGAAAAAAUAUAUUAUCAAUGAAAUCAUGAAUAUAUUUAUGUUAUAAAUUUUGUGAGCCAUAAAAAUGAUUUUGAUAAUUUAAAUUUGAAAUGAGUU